AACAAGGCGUACCUGCGGACCUGCGGAGGGAUCAUUAACGAGUGUGACCUACCCUUUUAAAAAAUGGGUGGUACCUCCCGUCCUUUGCGGGCCCCCUUCUUUUAUUAAGGGGGGGGCUUUUAAGACUUUCUGCUUCGGCGGGGUUAUUCCCGCCGGAACACCUUCAAAAAACUCUUGAUCAAAAAACUGUUCAGUCCGAGAAUUUUUGAAAAUUAAAACAAAACUUUCAACAACGGAUCU
RNAcentral lists this unclassified non-coding RNA (240 nucleotides) under soil metagenome. RNAcentral's name for it is "partial contains 5.8S ribosomal RNA, internal transcribed spacer 2, and large subunit ribosomal RNA". The record is from RNAcentral.